Small nuclear RNA from Heterocephalus glaber (naked mole-rat), 107 nucleotides. Lineage: Eukaryota; Metazoa; Chordata; Mammalia; Rodentia; Bathyergidae. The record is from Ensembl.
AUGUUCGUGUCAGCCACAUAUGUACUAAAAUUGGAAUGAUGCAAAGAAGAUUAGCAUGGCCCUUAUAUAAGGAUGAUUUGCAAAUUCAUGAAAAUUCCAUAUUGUUA